GUCCGCAGGCGGACUUAUAAGUCAGUGGUGAAAGCCUACAGCUUANCUGUAGAACUGCCAUUGAUACUGUAGGUCUUGAAUUCGAGUCGAAGUGGGCGGAAUGUGUAGUGUAGCGGUGAAAUGCUUANAUAUUACACAGAACACCGAUAGCGAAGGCAGCUCACUAGGCCUGGAUUGACGCUCAGGGACGAAAGCGUGGGGAUCAAACAGGAUUAGAUACCCUGGUAGUCCACGCUGUAAACGAUGAUUACUCGUUUUCGGCGAUAUACUGUCGGAGACUAACCGAAAGUGAUAAGUAAUCCACCUGGGGAGUACGAUCGCAAGGUUGAAACUCAAANGAAUUGACGGGGGCCCGCACAAGCGGUGGAGCAUGUGGUUUAAUUCGAUGAUACGCGAGGAACCUUACCAGGGCUUGAAAGUUAGUGAAGAAUGUGGAAACAUGUUCGUCAGCAAUGACACNAAACUAGGUGCUGCAUGGCUGUCGUCAGCUCGUGCCG
This 497-nucleotide ribosomal RNA is filed under the name uncultured Flexibacter sp. RNAcentral's name for it is "bacterial SSU rRNA". It matches the Rfam family "Bacterial small subunit ribosomal RNA", at positions 567 to 1067 of the family's 1533-position model. The record is from RNAcentral. Lineage: Bacteria; Pseudomonadati; Bacteroidota; Cytophagia; Cytophagales; Flexibacteraceae.